Molecule: ribosomal RNA, 347 nt
Filed under: uncultured bacterium
Lineage: Bacteria
Description: partial 16S ribosomal RNA
Rfam family: Bacterial small subunit ribosomal RNA
Source: RNAcentral
CCUACGGGUGGCAGCAGUCGAGAAUCAUUCACAAUGGGGGAAACCCUGAUGGUGCGACGCCGCGUGGGGGAAUGAAGGCCUUUGGAUUGUAAACCCCUGUCAUGUGGGAGCAAAUUAAAAAGAUAGUACCACAAGAGGAAGAGACGGCUAAAUCUGUGCCAGCAGCCGCGGUAAUACAGAGGUCCAAAGCGUUGGUCGGAAUCAUUGGGCGUAAAGCGUGCGUAGGCUGGUUCGUAAGUCGUGUGUGAAAGGCGCGGGCUCAACCCGCGAACGGCACAUGAUACUGCGAGACUAGAGUAAUGGAGAGGGAGGCGGAAUUCUCGGUGUAGCAGUGAAAUGCGUAGAUA